RNAcentral lists this ribosomal RNA (253 nucleotides) under uncultured bacterium. RNAcentral's name for it is "partial 16S ribosomal RNA". It matches the Rfam family "Bacterial small subunit ribosomal RNA", at positions 524 to 776 of the family's 1533-position model. The record is from RNAcentral.
UACGUAGGGUGCACGCGUUGUCCGGAAUUAUUGGGCGUAAAGGGCUCGUAGGCGGUUUUUCGCGUCUGCUGUGAAAAUCCAGGGCUUAACCCUGGACCUGCAGUGGGUACGGGCAGACUGGAGUGCGGUAGGGGAGAUCGGUAUUCCUGGUGUAGCGGUGAAAUGCGCAGAUAUCAGGAGGAACACCGGUGGCGAAGGCGGAUCUCUGGGCCGUAACUGACGCUGAGGAGCGAAAGCAUGGGGAGCGAACAGG